Molecule: ribosomal RNA, 465 nt
Filed under: uncultured bacterium
Lineage: Bacteria
Description: partial 16S ribosomal RNA
Rfam family: Bacterial small subunit ribosomal RNA
Source: RNAcentral
GACGAACGCUGGCGGCGUGCUUAACACAUGCAAGUCGAACGGAAAGGCCCCUUCGGGGGUACUCGAGUGGCGAACGGGUGAGUAACACGUGAGUAACCUGCCCUUGACUUCGGGAUAACUUCAGGAAACUGGGGCUAAUACCGGAUAGGAAUCCUUGCUGCAUGGUGGGGGUUGGAAAGCUUCGGCGGUUUUGGAUGGACUCGCGGCUUAUCAGCUUGUUGGUGGGGUAGUGGCUUACCAAGGCUUUGACGGGUAGCCGGCCUGAGAGGGCGACCGGCCACAUUGGGACUGAGAUACGGCCCAGACUCCUACGGGAGGCAGCAGUGGGGAAUAUUGCACAAUGGGCGGAAGCCUGAUGCAGCAACGCCGCGUGCGGGAUGACGGCCUUCGGGUUGUAAACCGCGUUCAGCAGGGGCGAAGCUUGUGGUGACGGUACCUGCAGAAGAAGCACCGGCUAACUACGUG